RNAcentral lists this long non-coding RNA (235 nucleotides) under Elaeis guineensis (African oil palm). RNAcentral's name for it is "long non-coding RNA (EGUI_LNC070261)". The record is from RNAcentral. Lineage: Eukaryota; Viridiplantae; Streptophyta; Magnoliopsida; Arecales; Arecaceae.
GGGUAGACGGCCUGCUAUAGGAGUUCUGAGUAGACCGUUCGUAGUAGAAGUUCGGCUCUCGUGGGAGCUCGAUCAGGAUCCGGGAGGCGGUCGAUCACUGUAGAAACUUGGGUGGAGUCUGGUUACUAUAAAAACCUCAUUGUCGGGGAAGCCCGGAUGCCGAUGAAGCCCAGAAGAAGUUCAAAGUAGGGUCGUCCGUGGCCGAAAGAAGUCCGGGAGAGACCCAGAGAAUGGU